UAAAAUCGGGCCAAAACAGAAAUUUGGGACAAGUUUGAAAAAAGAAAUAUAAAACAUUGAAAAGAUAGAAAUCACAGAAGGAUCAAAAGCACAAUAAAACCAAAAAAGUAAAGUGGCGCUAUUCCCUUUGCAAUUAAAACCAGAAAAACCAAAGGGUUGUCUGCCAUUUUCUAAAGCAAAAUUAAAACACCCCAUUUAUCAACCCAUUUGCCGAAACUGGAAAAAACAAAGGGGCUUUCACCCUUCUUCCCUCUGCUAGGACCAGUGAACGCGCCCAUCAUCGCCGGACCACCACCAGAUCUAGUGGCCGACAUCGCGCAAUAGGGGUUUCAACCCCGUUUUAAAACACGCGGUAAGUGUAUUCAUUUUUCCCCUUUCUAGUACUAUUUUUGAGAAAGAAAAACAAAUCGAAACUUAAAAGGUGUGAGAUCUGAAAGAAAAUCACCUAACAAUCAAUUUCUCUGCGAUUUUCCUCUGUGUCUUGUGGUAUUUGUUCGUAUAUUCUCUUUUUUAAAUCCAAAAAAAACGUAAAAAAAAUACACUGUUUAAACGAGUUUAUAUAGCCUAAUUUCUAACUACUUGUUGCGUGCUUGCUGGUGCCAAGCGGAGAUCGCGGGGAGGUGGUGUGGCGCACGACUCGGAGUUGCGCGACGUGCGGAGCCCGGAUUCAGGCUUGCGGCGCUGGCUUCCCUGAUGCUGGGUUUCUCAUUUCCUUUUUUGUUUUUUUGGUAUUUGGCCUAGGUAUUAUGUGGGCUUGUGUUUUGUUUUGUAUAUUGGGCUGAGAGAUGUGGGUUAGGUUUUGGGUAAUCUGUUGGGCUUUGGGUUUGUUUUAAAUUUGGUCCUACAGUAGGGUUUUGGCAUUCUUAGCUUUGAUUGAUUGCUUCAGAGUUUGAGGAGUGAAGAGGUGAAGUAUGAAAAAUAUUUUUGCAUGACUGAGAAGAAUCAUUCAUUAGUGGUAGGGUAUACAAAGAUUAUGAUUUUUUGCGUUAUAUUCCUUCACGCUACUUUUUUAGAUAUGUAUAUCAUAUAUAAUAUUUAUAAAAAAUAUUGAAAAAUGUUAACAUUUGAAGUAGUUGAAAUGAAAAUGAAGGAAAUCGAGGAGAUCACUCAAUCUGUCUUCAAACUCCAUUGUUGUUUUAAUUACUAUCACCAUCACCAAAAUGCUAUUCAAUAUUAUUAACG
This 1182-nucleotide long non-coding RNA is filed under the name Gossypium barbadense (sea-island cotton). Its description in RNAcentral is "long non-coding RNA (GBAR_LNC013086)". Lineage: Eukaryota; Viridiplantae; Streptophyta; Magnoliopsida; Malvales; Malvaceae. The record is from RNAcentral.